This is a long non-coding RNA of Micropterus dolomieu (smallmouth bass), 964 nucleotides long. RefSeq lists it as uncharacterized. The transcript has 3 exons. Lineage: Eukaryota; Metazoa; Chordata; Actinopteri; Centrarchiformes; Centrarchidae. The record is from RefSeq and is a predicted model, not a curated record.
UAUUGUCUCUGAUGAGGACUGCACCCCAGAGCCAAGCACAAACCGGGACAGGACCGGGGUCGAGGCGAAGCAGAGGAAGGAGGGCUGCCGGGGUCCGAGGAAGAAGAGGCAGGACGGAGAGGACGAGGUGCAAGCCAAGGAGCACAUCUUCUAGGAGCUGCGUCGAGCUUCACGCUCCAACAACAGCAUACACUGAAAAAAGGGAAAAAGGGGGGUUGUUCACUUUACAAAUAACAGUUCGCAUACACGACACAACUGAUUUAUGUUCCUUCUCUGAAAAUAUGUCAGUCAUGUAGAAUUAUACUAAUCUUGAUUGAUGUUUAAUUUUUAAGUCUCAGUCAUGUUAAGAGCAAAGGACGUUGUUAUGUUUUGUCUGGAAACUCCGCCCACUGGGAGCAGCUCUUUGAAUGAAAACUUCACCGAGGGCGCCAUUUUUUCGAUUCGGUCGGUUGAAUUCAUCAGUCUGGACAGCUCUUCACACAGUAAAGGAUGAUGACAUUGAUGUUCGGCGGGAAUGCAUACUCAAGGGGCUGUGUGUGUACCUCAAUGAAGACCUGGAAAAAUGAGCGAGAGAAUACACUGCAGAAGACAAAGACCUGAGGAGCCAUUGAGGAGACCAUGGUGAAAAUACGUGAGAUGCCACUGAUGGACCAGAGGACAUUGGGCUUGUCCUGGAAGGCCAGGUGGUACUGCAUGAUCUGGACAACGUUGCCUUAGCUGCUGCCAUGUUGUUUGGACUAAUGUAUGCCUUGAACUACCCUCCUGAACUUAAGUACUCUUUCAAAGUGCUCCAGAAGUUGUGAUGGAGCUGGACGACAACACACUGUCAAAGAAAGCCCAGGGACUCAAAAACAAACUAUAAGUUAGCUUUUGCCAUUUUAGGCAGCCUGCAUACAACAGUACCCUUUCUUCUUGGAAUAUGGACCAUUGCUGCUUUUUUAUUGGAAUGGACUUUUGACACUUA